AUGAACGCUGACAGAAUGCUUAACACCUUCCAGUCCUUGGCGAAGCUGCGCUUGCGCAGUCUAGCCAAGGCGGACGGGUGAGUAACGCGUAAGGAACUUGCCCUGCAGACAGGGAUAACAGACGGAAACGACUGAUAACACCUGGUAUUGUCAGGCUGGCGCAUGCCGGCCUGAUGAAAGGAGACGCUGCAGGAGAGCCUUGCGUCCUAUUAGCUAGGUGGUGGGGUAACGGCCCACCAAGGCGAUGAUAGGUAGCCGGCCUGAGGGGGUGAACGGCCACAAGGGGACUGAGAUACGGCACUUACUCCUACGGGAGGCAGCAGUGGGGAAUAUUGGACAAUGGGGGCAACUCUGAUCCAGCAAUUCUGUGUGCACGAAGAAGGUUUUCGGAUUGUAAAGUGCUUUCAGCAGGGAAGAAGAGAGUGACGGUACCUGCAGAAGAAGCGACGGCUAAAUACGUG
RNAcentral lists this ribosomal RNA (461 nucleotides) under uncultured bacterium. Its description in RNAcentral is "partial 16S ribosomal RNA". It matches the Rfam family "Bacterial small subunit ribosomal RNA", at positions 29 to 507 of the family's 1533-position model. The record is from RNAcentral.